RNAcentral lists this long non-coding RNA (1166 nucleotides) under Homo sapiens (human). Its description in RNAcentral is "JPX transcript, XIST activator". The stretch from base 1 to 126 matches the Rfam family "JPX transcript, XIST activator conserved region 1". Lineage: Eukaryota; Metazoa; Chordata; Mammalia; Primates; Hominidae. The record is from RNAcentral.
UGGAAGACUUAAGAUGGCGGCGUUUGCACGGAGUGCAAUCACUGCGUCCUUACGGGGGUUGCAAGGCGUCCGAAGUAUGAGUCCACUAACAAAAGUCCAGAAACUCGCCAGUUAAUAGUAUUGUGGUGAGUGAUGAGCCUCACGUUGGCUAGAGAAGUGGCCGUUAGCGAGGCUACACACUUUGGGAUCGCGUGGCCUGAGUCGGGGGAGUAACCGGCCUGUAUUCCAUUUUUCUCUCUCCAGUCUCUUCAAAAUAUCGGAGAAUAAUUUCUUUCUCGCUGAUCGCCUAACUUCUACUGACGAAGCUUGGAAGUUGCAGAAGGUUGGAGUGCAAUGGCGCGAUCUCGGCUGACUGCAACCUCCACCUCCUGGAUUCAAGCUAUUCUCCUGCCUCAGCCUGCCGAGUAGCUGGGAUUACAGGCAUGUGCCACCGCACCCAGCUAAUUUUGUAUUUUUUAGUAGAGAUGGGGUUUCUCCAUGUUGGUCAGGCUGGUCUUGAACUCCUGACCUCAGGUGAUCCGCCCACCUCAGCCUCCCAAAGUGCUGGGAUUACAGGCGUGAGCCACCGCGCCCGGCCAGAACAUUAGUUUUAAACUUCCUAACCCUUGGGAGAAGGCAAAACACUUGAUGAAAUCUACAUAAAGACUAAAACAUUUUACCAAUUUUGCAUUGUUUGUUUGAAAUUGCAUUGACGACUGGUAUGUUAAUUUUGUAUAUAUUUUUAUGAGAACAAUGUUGGACAUCAUUUAAUUUUUUUAGGUUUUUUUAAUUGAUUAUUGAUUGGUUCAUUUGCAGGAACUGACUAUUAGUAAUCAAGGAUACAAAUUGUUAAGAGAAUAUGUUACAGAGAAAAACUUGACAAGCUAGACUUAGAUUUUUGUCGUUAAAGAUAAUUUGUGGGAUAUGAUUUUUAUAAGGAGUUGCAUUAAAUAGAAUGUCUUACACAGAUUUAAGAGGUUAAUAAUUAUAAAAUUAAGAUGAGUUCUUAUAAAAUAUUCUUGAGGUAUAAUAAAAUUAUACUUGUGGAGUAUAUCUUUGAAUAACAUUUAAAAGCAAACUAAUACUUUCCAGGUAAAAUAAUUAUCAACAUAACUUUUUAAAAAUAAUUCAUAGUACUUCAGGUUAUUUCUAUGUUUGACACAUUAACUUAAAAGAAAAAAGGAAAA